AUAACAUCAAACAAAGGGCACCUUAAUUUCCACAUUUUCCUCCACUGAACAAUAACCAGCUGUUAUAAAAGUUGGUGGCUAAAGAAUUCAUUAACAAAGAUUGACAUUUUAUAUUUCAAGCAAAAUGAUAGGCCAGUGAACUAGCCAUUCAUGAUUAAUUCAGUCUUUCCCAUUGAAAUGUUUAAAUUAUUUAACAGAUGCUCACUAUUUUCUCAGGAAGCCAUGAUUUAUAGAUGGAUGGAGAAAUCUAAUCAUAGCAGUGCAAAAGAAACGUGGCCUGGGUUAAUUCCUGUUUCAAUGGCAACAUAGUAUGAGGCUUGGAGAAAUGUUCUUUGAAGCAGAAGAGCAAAGAAAAGGAGGACUGCCAGAACAUAAGCAUUGGCCAGAAAUUCUUGAGAUGAAAUGAAGAAGACGCCAAGUAUUUUAGUCUGUGGAACAACAAUAAAAGGUUAUUCAAAAUCUA
Long non-coding RNA from Anolis carolinensis (green anole), 463 nucleotides. RefSeq lists it as uncharacterized. The record is from RefSeq and is a predicted model, not a curated record. Lineage: Eukaryota; Metazoa; Chordata; Lepidosauria; Squamata; Anolidae. The transcript is spliced from 2 exons.